CCAACAAAGACUUAUCCACCCCAGAGUGUAAUUAGUGCCGAGAAGAAAAAACCCUGCACUAGAUGAAGAAACAAAUAUAUGAAGGAAAAUAAGGUUCUGGAAACUCCUGCCCUAGGAAGGAGAUAGUCAUGACUCAUCAAAGAGAAGCUGGAAAAGCAUUUGGGGUGGAGGGGGGGGGUAGUAUUCUCCUUCCACGCACAGAUCUCAGCUCUACAAAGGCACCAAGGACUUGCAGCUUCCUUCUUGCAGGGAAAGGAACUUCCAGGCAGGGCUGCAGCAGGUGGGCCAGAGGUGUCUGACCCCCGGAUGGAAGCCCCUGGGUCAUGGGCCCCUGGGGAAGGAACUGGGCCCAGAUAUUAGCCCUGGCGGAGACUGGCACCUGUGGUGGGGCUGAAGGGGUCCUGUUUGACUCAUUCCCAAAGUGAGGGGGGCAUAUUCCCUGCUGAGGAUCAAAGUCAUGGUUGGUCCAGGUACUGAAGGGAAAGUGAAUAAUCUUUCAGGUGUGUGGCAGUGGAAGACAACUGACCCAACCUGAAAUGCACUUAACAAAUGUCAGAUGAAGUGGGGGGAGAAGGGAGGCAGUGAUGGUCUGGGGCCUGCGGCACAUUGACCUUCCAGGCAGGUGGGGCCCCUGCUCUGUCUUAUCUGCUCAGGCUGCCAUUCUUGGGGCCUGAGGUCAUUCAAGAACGGCAGGAGGGCACCAGGAAGCUGCUCUGUGGCCAGCUGGGAACACUCUUCCUUAUCCCGGAGGCCAGGGAGAAAGUCAUCGUCACAAGGACAAGUCCUCUCUGGAUGCAUCAGCCCUGGACCUAUCACACCAUGUGGCCUCUUUUUUGGGCCUCCUGGAGAAGAGGCUUUGCUUUUCUCCACCACAGCUAUUGUGGAGCCAGUCCUAAUGGGGCUGUCAGUACAUCCUAUACCUUUUACAUUUAGCUUUGCUCAGCACAGUUAGAGAAGAUGGAGGGGGAGCAGGAGGCUGUUUUGGAUAGGAUGGUCAGGGAAGGCCUCCUUGAGGAGGUGACACAGGAGCCGAGAUGUGAACAACUCAAAGCGGCCAGUUAGGUGGUCAUCCUGAGAGCCUUCCGGGCAGGGGGAACAGAUCUGCAAAGGUCCUGGAUGGGGAAAGCGUGGCUCGUCCGCGGAACCGCCAGAAAGCCUGCAGGCUGGAGCUGGAGAAGGAGCCUGGAGAUACGGCUGGAGGGAUCAUAGAUUCGCUUCUCCUGUGGGUGAGAGCAGGGAGGCAUGAAACAGCUAUCCGGAGGCACUGGUAUGGAAUCCCUUUAGGCACAGAACACAAAUCCUGUGACCUCCUGAGGGGACACAAACGGGGGCUCCCCCACCAGGGGCACCACUGACUCCCCAGCUUCUGUGCCAGACUUCAGUCAUUCACUCACCCAUCCAGACAGGUUGUGGUCGACUGCGUGGAAGAAAGCUCACCUGGACAGCACCUCUCAUCCUAAGCGUUCUUUUACAAUAUGACCUUACGCUUCUCCAUCAGGAGGCAGGGUCUAAUCCCUUCCCUUUGCGUCUGCCUGGAUUUAUGGUCUCCUUGUAACCCAAAGAACGCAGCUCAAGUGAUGCCGUGUGGCUUCCCAGGCUAUCUCGGAAAAGACCGAGUGGCUUCCACCUGGUUCUCUUGGAACACGUGCUCUGGGGGAGGCUACCUGUUAUGUCAAAAGUCCCACCACUCUGAGACCUGUAGGCUGGAGAGCUGCUCUGUCAACAGUUCCAGCUAAGCCCAGCAUUCCAGUCAUGCUGGCCAAGGGGCUGGAUAGGGGGCUAAAGAAGCCACAUUGGCUGUUGGUCUUCAAGCCCAUCGCUGCUGGAGUCACCCAACUGAGGGCCCACUAGGACCCAGACAUCAAGGACAAGGACAAGCCAUCCCAUUGUACCCUGUCCAGACUCUAGACCUACACAAGCUGCAAGCAUAAUAAAACGGUUGUUUUUCACCACUAA
Bubalus bubalis (water buffalo) is the source of this 1956-nucleotide long non-coding RNA. RefSeq lists it as uncharacterized. The record is from RefSeq and is a predicted model, not a curated record. The transcript has 2 exons. Lineage: Eukaryota; Metazoa; Chordata; Mammalia; Artiodactyla; Bovidae.